RNAcentral lists this ribosomal RNA (536 nucleotides) under uncultured Glomus. RNAcentral's name for it is "SSU rRNA". It matches the Rfam family "Eukaryotic small subunit ribosomal RNA", at positions 555 to 1092 of the family's 1831-position model. The record is from RNAcentral. Lineage: Eukaryota; Fungi; Glomeromycota; Glomeromycetes; Glomerales; Glomeraceae.
CGAAGUCUGGUGCCAGCAGCCGCGGUAAUUCCAGCUCCAACAGCGUAUAUUAAAGUUGUUGCAGUUAAAAGCUCGUAGUUGAAUUUCGGGGUUAGUAGGUUGGUCGUGCCUUUGGUAUGUACUGGUCUCACUGAUUCCUCCUUCUUGAAGAACUGUAAUGUCAUUAAUUUGGUGUUGUAGGGAAACAGGACUGUUACUUUGAAAAAUUAGAGUGUUUAAAGCAGGCUAACGCCUGAAUACAUUAGCAUGGAAUAAUGAAAUAGGACGUUUGAUCCUAUUUUGUUAGGUUUCUAGGAUUGACGUAAUGAUUAAUAGGGAUAUUUGGGGGCAUUAGUAUUCAAUUGUCAGAGGUGAAAUUCUUGGAUUUAUUGAAGACUGACUACUGCGAAAGCAUUUGCCAAGGAUGUUUUCAUUAAUCAAGAACGAAAGUUAGGGGGAUCGAAGACGAUCAGAUACCGUCGUAGUCUUAACCAUAAACUAUGCCGACUAGGGAUCGGAUGAUGUUAAUUUUUUAAUGACUCAUUCGGCGCCUUACG